UAUCCAGUAUUGUUGUCUGAGUGUUGUU
This 28-nucleotide non-coding RNA is filed under the name Bombyx mori (domestic silkworm). The record is from RNAcentral. Lineage: Eukaryota; Metazoa; Arthropoda; Insecta; Lepidoptera; Bombycidae.